UACGAAGGGGGCUAGCGUUGCUCGGAAUUACUGGGCGUAAAGCGCACGUAGGCGGAUUGUUAAGUCGGGGGUGAAAUCCUGGAGCUCAACUCCAGAACUGCCUUCGAUACUGGCGAUCUCGAGUUCGGGAGAGGUGAGUGGAACUGCGAGUGUAGAGGUGAAAUUCGUAGAUAUUCGCAAGAACACCAGUGGCGAAGGCGGCUCACUGGCCCGAUACUGACGCUGAGGUGCGAAAGCAUGGGGAGCGAACAGG
This 253-nucleotide ribosomal RNA is filed under the name uncultured bacterium. RNAcentral describes it as "partial 16S ribosomal RNA". It matches the Rfam family "Bacterial small subunit ribosomal RNA", at positions 524 to 776 of the family's 1533-position model. The record is from RNAcentral.